Molecule: transfer RNA, 77 nt
Filed under: Pseudomonadota bacterium
Lineage: Bacteria; Pseudomonadati; Pseudomonadota
Description: tRNA-Arg
Rfam family: tRNA
About the family: Transfer RNA (tRNA) molecules are approximately 80 nucleotides in length. Their secondary structure includes four short double-helical elements and three loops (D, anti-codon, and T loops).
Source: RNAcentral
GGCCCCGUAGCUCAGCUGGAUAGAGCGUUUGCCUCCUAAGCGAAAGGUCAGCAGUUCGAAUCUGCUCGGGGCCACCA